Molecule: non-coding RNA, 97 nt
Organism: Acanthosepion pharaonis
Lineage: Eukaryota; Metazoa; Mollusca; Cephalopoda; Sepiida; Sepiidae
Source: the annotation of a GenBank genome assembly
CAAAACGCUGGUUCUCAUAUGAUCACUGAAGUUAAGCAACAUUGAGCUCAUUCUUUACCUAGAUGGGUGAACGCUUAGCAAUACCAGGUGCUGUAAG